This is a long non-coding RNA of Hermetia illucens (black soldier fly), 376 nucleotides long. RefSeq lists it as uncharacterized. The record is from RefSeq and is a predicted model, not a curated record. The transcript is spliced from 2 exons. NCBI's taxonomy places the organism in Eukaryota, Metazoa, Arthropoda, Insecta, Diptera, Stratiomyidae.
CCGAAUUAUCUCAUGAUGGCAAUAAUACGGAGAUAAACGCAUCGUGUGACGUCUCCGUCUCUCUAAUCCUCGCCUACCCAGGGAACGGACGUUUUUUCCGAAGCUAUGGGGUAUUCCUAUUGCUUCCGAAUUGUGGUAAGCUAAUGGUUUUGACACCCAGAAGCUAGGAUUUUACAUUAAGCCGCCAAAUUGGUAACCCCGACGUGAUUUUAACACGCUACUUUUUCAUGAAAUCCACGCUAGGGAAUCACCUCCUUUGAGCAGGCCUUCAUCAACUCAUGGAACACGGCUAUAAUUUAGUUCUGGACAAACGUUCCAACCAAUGAUUAUGCUUUCUUAUUAAAUAAAUAAAAAGUCCAAAUUCGUUCAAAUUCUA